AUACGUAGGUGGCAAGCGUUGUCCGGAUUUACUGGGUGUAAAGGGCGUGCAGCCGGGAAGGCAAGUCAGAUGUGAAAUCUGGGGGCUCAACCUCCAAACUGCAUUUGAAACUGCUUUUCUUGAGUAUCGGAGAGGUAAUCGGAAUUCCUUGUGUAGCGGUGAAAUGCGUAGAUAUAAGGAAGAACUCCAAUUGCGAAGGCAGCUCACUGGGGUACAACUGACACUGAGGCUCGAAAGUGUGGGUAUC
RNAcentral lists this ribosomal RNA (247 nucleotides) under uncultured bacterium. RNAcentral describes it as "partial 16S ribosomal RNA". It matches the Rfam family "Bacterial small subunit ribosomal RNA", at positions 523 to 769 of the family's 1533-position model. The record is from RNAcentral.